Molecule: ribosomal RNA, 1391 nt
Filed under: bacterium
Lineage: Bacteria
Description: bacterial SSU rRNA
Rfam family: Bacterial small subunit ribosomal RNA
Source: RNAcentral
AGUCGACGAUGAUGCCCAGCUCGCUGGGCGGAUUAGUGGCGAACGGGUGAGUAAUACGUGAGUAACCUGCCCUUGACUCUGGGAUAAGCCUGGGAAACUGGGUCUAAUACUGGAUACUACCUCUCACCGCAUGGUGGGUGGUGGAAAGGGUUUUACUGGUUUUGGAUGGGCUCACGGCCUAUCAGCUUGUUGGUGGGGUAAUGGCUCACCAAGGCGACGACGGGUAGCCGGCCUGAGAGGGUGACCGGCCACACUGGGACUGAGACACGGCCCAGACUCCUACGGGAGGCAGCAGUGGGGAAUAUUGCACAAUGGGCGGAAGCCUGAUGCAGCGACGCCGCGUGAGGGAUGACGGCCUUCGGGUUGUAAACCUCUUUCAGUAGGGAAGAAGCGAGAGUGACGGUACCUGCAGAAGAAGCGCCGGCUAACUACGUGCCAGCAGCCGCGGUAAUACGUAGGGCGCAAGCGUUGUCCGGAAUUAUUGGGCGUAAAGAGCUCGUAGGCGGUUUGUCGCGUCUGCUGUGAAAGCCCGGGGCUCAACCCCGGGUCUGCAGUGGGUACGGGCAGACUAGAGUGCAGUAGGGGAGACUGGAAUUCCUGGUGUAGCGGUGAAAUGCGCAGAUAUCAGGAGGAACACCGAUGGCGAAGGCAGGUCUCUGGGCUGUUACUGACGCUGAGGAGCGAAAGCAUGGGGAGCGAACAGGAUUAGAUACCCUGGUAGUCCAUGCCGUAAACGUUGGGCACUAGGUGUGGGGGACAUUCCACGUUUUCCGCGCCGUAGCUAACGCAUUAAGUGCCCCGCCUGGGGAGUACGGCCGCAAGGCUAAAACUCAAAGGAAUUGACGGGGGCCCGCACAAGCGGCGGAGCAUGCGGAUUAAUUCGAUGCAACGCGAAGAACCUUACCAAGGCUUGACAUUCACCGGACCGCCCCAGAGAUGGGGUUUCCCUUCGGGGCUGGUGGACAGGUGGUGCAUGGUUGUCGUCAGCUCGUGUCGUGAGAUGUUGGGUUAAGUCCCGCAACGAGCGCAACCCUCGUUCUAUGUUGCCAGCACGUGAUGGUGGGGACUCAUAGGAGACUGCCGGGGUCAACUCGGAGGAAGGUGGGGAUGACGUCAAAUCAUCAUGCCCCUUAUGUCUUGGGCUUCACGCAUGCUACAAUGGCCGGUACAAAGGGUUGCGAUACUGUGAGGUGGAGCUAAUCCCAAAAAGCCGGUCUCAGUUCGGAUUGAGGUCUGCAACUCGACCUCAUGAAGUCGGAGUCGCUAGUAAUCGCAGAUCAGCAACGCUGCGGUGAAUACGUUCCCGGGCCUUGUACACACCGCCCGUCAAGUCACGAAAGUUGGUAACACCCGAAGCCGGUGGCCUAACCCCUUGUGGGAGGAGCCGUCGA